Molecule: unclassified non-coding RNA, 950 nt
Filed under: Hevea brasiliensis (rubber tree)
Lineage: Eukaryota; Viridiplantae; Streptophyta; Magnoliopsida; Malpighiales; Euphorbiaceae
Source: RNAcentral
UCAUUUUGAAAAAAAAAAAAAAAAAAAGAUAACAACCAAGGAAAAAAAAGGUUGUGUAUAUGCACCAUUACAAUAAUCAACUUCAGUCUAUACCACACUAACAGCUCCAUCCUACAACUCAAAAUUGAGUCUCGCCACCUUCAGAUGUAUGUGAAAGAGCAGAGAUUGUGAACAGAAAAAUUAUGUUUUGGCGCGUAACAGAGAGAACUGACCAUCAAUGAGCCCCUGGUUCCCAUGGUGGUAUUGGUGUAUUGUUAGCCUCUUUGUUACGUAUACAUGUUUUCGAGGAUUAAUGGCUGGCUUGCCCACAAUAUUGAAUGCCAUUUGAGCACUAGACACAAUAGCAAGCAAAGAGAAGUUUCAAUCGUAUAUUUUUACUUUAACAAGCUACUACAAUCCUGGCUCGACCAGGAUUAAGAAGUGAGUCUGACAUUCUCCAACCCUGUUCUGCAGCUUUACUUUUAAAAGGACCAUAUAAAGUUGAGACCAUUUUGCAUGAGUCAGUAAUAUGAGCCUCAAUAUCAUUAGCUGAGGGAAUAUAGUUUGAACGGUAUGCUUGCUGCUUCCACGAUGAAGAGUGAAUAUUAUUUGAUGAAUUUAUGAAAUGCAAAAGCACGUGAGCGUGGAAUGCAGCUUUUAGAAUGUCAUCUGACUUUGCCUGAUCCUUAAGCAAUGCAUAGACCUUAUCCUUUAAUGGAUUGUACGUCACUAUAUAUCUUUCUUGCUCAAAAAGAGGCUUUAUUGCAAGAUAUGCACUAGGGUCUUGAAAAGCAUCUUUAAAUCUUGGUCCUAGAACAAUAGGCCUCUCCUUCAACCAUGGAAAGCUGAAUAUAUUUUCUUUCAUAUUUCCCUCUUGCAAUGAGGGCACUUUCCCUGUCUNNNNNNNNNNNNNCCACUGCCACACUGAAUCUGGCCCGGUUCAAGGUGUGCAACACUACAGAUUUAACCUC